ACAUGCUGCAAUAGCUAACUCGUGAUAGCUAUCUCGAUGUAAAACAACAAAUUGUUUUUGUUGACAAUGAAGACAGCAACAGACAGAGAGGAAGGCAGCAUGAGAUGAACACAAGAUUUACUGGAGGGAGGAGUAAAGAGACACAAGAUGCAAUAGAUAGUCCAGUAUAUGCUGGAUGAAGACUAAAUCAGUGAAAUACAGGAUUGACAAAAUGAGAUGGAAAGACACUUCUACUUCGAAAUGUGAACUACCUCUUGACAAAGCAGGGAAGAGCAAGCUCCUCACUGCCUGCUGAGUGAAAACAUUGCCGCUGCGUUGUCUGUGAGAACAGCCUUUUUCCUUGACUGAGAUAGGAAAGAUUGACACAGGCGGGCAGCCCUUAGCUCUCUUCUGUUGAUGUGUAGAGACAGAAGCAAUGGUCGUAUCAACCGAGUUCUCUGCGUCUAGUCCAACCUGCAGCAAACUUCUCGCUUCAGAAUUCUCCUCAUCAACUAAAGAGAACUCUUAUCUAGUGUCCUCCAGCAACAUGUUCUUAAACUUUAAAAAGGAGUC
This is a long non-coding RNA of Mauremys mutica (yellowpond turtle), 552 nucleotides long. RefSeq lists it as uncharacterized. The record is from RefSeq and is a predicted model, not a curated record. NCBI's taxonomy places the organism in Eukaryota, Metazoa, Chordata, Testudines, Geoemydidae. The transcript has 3 exons.